AUACCGUUGUUAAGGCACUUACGGAUCAUGUCCUUAAACCUUUUUCGUGCUUCAUAGAAUCUCUCUAAAUUGUUCUACUGAAAUAUGGAAAUCUCGUGUCUUAAUUU
RNAcentral lists this small nucleolar RNA (107 nucleotides) under Olea europaea subsp. europaea. RNAcentral's name for it is "Plant small nucleolar RNA R71". It matches the Rfam family "Plant small nucleolar RNA R71". Rfam says of the family: R71 is a member of the C/D box family of snoRNAs containing the C (UGAUGA) and D (CUGA) box motifs. The record is from Rfam by way of RNAcentral. Lineage: Eukaryota; Viridiplantae; Streptophyta; Magnoliopsida; Lamiales; Oleaceae.